This 474-nucleotide ribosomal RNA is filed under the name uncultured bacterium. RNAcentral's name for it is "bacterial SSU rRNA". It matches the Rfam family "Bacterial small subunit ribosomal RNA", at positions 36 to 507 of the family's 1533-position model. The record is from RNAcentral.
CUGGCGCGUGCUUUAACACAUGCAAGUCGAACGAAGCACCUUAAUUGAUUUCUUCGGAAUGAAGUUAUUGUGACUGAGUGGCGGACGGGUGAGUAACGCGUGGGUAACCUGCCUCACACAGGGGGGAUAACAGUUGGAAACGGCUGCUAAUACCGCAUAAGCGCACAGUACCGCAUGGUACGGUGUGAAAAACUCCGGUGGUGUGAGAUGGACCCGCGUCUGAUUAGCUAGUUGGCAGGGCAACGGCCUACCAAGCCGACGAUCAGUAGCCGACCUGAGAGGGUGACCGGCCACAUUGGGACUGAGACACGGCCCAAACUCCUACGGGAGGCAGCAGUGGGGAAUAUUGCACAAUGGGGGAAACCCUGAUGCAGCGACGCCGCGUGAGCGAAGAAGUAUUUCGGUAUGUAAAGCUCUAUCAGCAGGGAAGAAGAAAUGACGGUACCUGACUAAGAAGCACCGGCUAAAUACGUG